GAAAUGUUGCACAGAGGAGGGGGCUUUGCAAAGAGACCGAGAGCAUUGUAGAGAGAUGGGGACUGUUGCUGGGUGGAGGGAACAUUGCAGAAAGAUGGGGGAGCGUUGCAGAAAGGAGAGAGUGUUGCAGUGAGGAUGGAGGGUUGCGGAGAGAAGGGAAAUGUUGCAGAAAGGAGGGAGCUUGGCAAAGAGACCGGGAGCGUUGCAGGAAAGAGGCAGCGUUGCAGAGAGAUGGGGACUGUUUCUGGGUGGAGGGAACAUUGCAGAAAGAUGGGGGAGAGUUGCAGAGAGAUAGGGAGCGUUGCAGAAAGGAGGGAGUGUUGCAGUGAGAGGGGGGGGGGCGUGGCAGGAAGGAUGGGAGCUAUGCAAGAAGGAGGCAGCGUUGCAGAGAGAUGGGGACUGUUGCUGGGUGGAGGGACCAUUGCAGAAAGAUGGGGGAGAGUUGCAGAGAGAUAGGGAGCGUUGCAGAAAGGAGGGAGUGUUGCAGUGAGGGGGGGGGGGCGUGGCAGGAAGGAUGGGAGCUAUGCAAGAAGGAGGCAGCGUUGAAGAGAGAAGGGAGCUGUUGCAACGAGAAGGCAGCGUUGGAGCGAGGAGUGGAGCGUCAUGUUAGAGCCUUACAAUAAUGAGGAGAGGAAUGCAGGAAGGGGGAGAGUGUUAUGGGGGCAGGGUGUGGUUAUAGGACAGGGUAUAAUGUUCCCUCUAUUCUGACCAUUACACCGCGUGGUGCCGCACCGGGUGGGGGGGGGGGGUGAUUGAAGCUGGUGGGUGGGUGGGUCUGGGACUUCCAUAGAUAUUUGGAGAGUGAUGUCUGACACUCGGGGAGGGGGUCAUUGUUUAAUUCAUUCACAUACAGCCAGAGUGCGGAAACACAGAGUCUCUCGGCUCCCACCUUCCAAAGUUCCGCGCAUCGUUCUUAGUCCCAACGCAAGUUUUGGAAGCUUGUGGGCCAUUUGUUUCGCAAUGUGACCGCGAUGACUAUCCAUAUCCCCACCGCCAGCACACGUACCUGUGUAAACCACUGGCCUUGGUUAAAGGUGGGAGGCAGAAUUCUCCAGCGAAAAUCACUGUUUUGUUUUAUUACGUUAACUUAAAAAAAUACAAAUAAAGUUCUUAUUUGCUGUU
Long non-coding RNA from Amblyraja radiata (thorny skate), 1122 nucleotides. RefSeq lists it as uncharacterized. Lineage: Eukaryota; Metazoa; Chordata; Chondrichthyes; Rajiformes; Rajidae. The record is from RefSeq and is a predicted model, not a curated record. The transcript has 2 exons.